This 561-nucleotide long non-coding RNA is filed under the name Mytilus galloprovincialis (Mediterranean mussel). The record is from RNAcentral. Lineage: Eukaryota; Metazoa; Mollusca; Bivalvia; Mytilida; Mytilidae.
CUUAAGGUGGCUCGGGGCCUAUUAAAAGUUUCUAUCAGAAGUGCCGUAUUUUUUGUUAUUUUAUUCCUAACAGAAAUUGAAUCAAAUUGGUAGAAAAAAAAUAGGGGGUCACGGACCAUUUAAGCUCAAAAUUUUACUUUUAAACAGGUAUGUAAAAGGGACCAUUUUUCAAUGAAAUGAUAGGGGAAAUAGAGGUGUUGACAUAUUUUUAUCGGAUUAUUAAAAAAACGUUCUAUGACACAUGGUCCAAAACUGUAAUAUAAAAAGCUAAAAUAUAGCUUCAAAGAAUGAGCAAAUAAAAAAGAUAGGUCACCGAUAAGGAAAAAAAUAUAUUUUGCCUUAAAACCCAAAUUUUGGCGGGAAAAUGGGUGAAAUGUCAUUUUGACCCUUUAACAAAUACGAAUUAUCACGAAAAUAUUCUAUUAUUCACAUAACUACAAUGAUUUAACAUUUCUAAUCAAUCAAAAUUUUUAAAAAAAUUAUAUCAAAUUAACGACAAAUACUUUUGUAAUUCAUGCGUGAAAUUAUGCGCAGUCGAAUAGUCCCGAGCCACCUUAAUAU